This 3082-nucleotide ribosomal RNA is filed under the name Burkholderia mallei 2002721280. RNAcentral's name for it is "23S ribosomal RNA". Lineage: Bacteria; Pseudomonadati; Pseudomonadota; Betaproteobacteria; Burkholderiales; Burkholderiaceae. The record is from RNAcentral.
CGCUCGAGGAGCGGCUCGGCGUCGCGUUGUUCCUGCGGAUCAAGAAACGGGUCGUGCUGACGCCGCACGGCCGCCAUUAUGCGGCGCUCGUGCGGCGCAACCUCGAGCGCAUCGAGCGCGACACGCUCGAGCUGAUGGCGCAGCGCGGCAUCGGCGCGACGCUCGAGCUCGCGGUCGUGCCGACGUUCGCGAGCCAGUGGCUGAUUCCGCGCCUGCCGCAGUUCCGCGCGCUGCGGCCCGACAUCACGGUGAACCUGUCGGUGCGCACCGGGCCGUUCCUCUUCAGCGAUUCGACGUUCGACGCGGCGAUCUACUUCGGCCACGCGCUGUGGCCCGGCACGCAGGGGCGGCUGCUGUUCCUCGAAGGCGACAUGCUGCCCGUCUGCAGCCCGGCGCUGCUGGGCGCGAACGGGCGGCGCAUCACGCGCGACGCGCUGCUCGAUCUGCCGCUGCUGCACCUGUCGACGCGCGCGGACGCGUGGCGCGACUGGUUUCGCGCGCAAGGCCUCGACAACGAUCUGCGCGCGGUGCGCGGCCCGCGCUACGAGCUGUUCACGAUGCUGACGGCGGCCGCGCACGCGGGCAUGGGCGUCGCGCUGAUGCCGGCGCUGCUCGUCGCGGACGAGCUCGCAUCGGGCCGCCUUUGCGCGCCGCUCGACCUGCGGCUGCCGAGCGACGCCGGCUAUUACCUCGUCGCGCCGGACGCGGCCGCCGACAGCGAGCCGUUCGUCGCGUUGGCCGAAUGGCUGGGUUCCGUCUCGCCGGCGCGGCCGAUAAGCUGACGCGACGCUCCUGUUCAUCCGUUCAUCGGCCGGCGGCAGGCCGGCCACGCGAGACCGACCAUGACCAUUCGCAUCGACGACAUCGUGCCGCUGUCCAUCGCACGCGCGCGCUUUUCCGAGCUGGCGGACGACGCGCGGGACGGCGGCGAGAAGAUCAUCACGAAGAACGGCGCGGCGUAUGUCGCGCUGAUCGACGCGAGACGGCUCGAUCACUAUCAUCGGCUCGAGCGCGAGCGGGCGGAAUGCGCCUGCGCGGCGCUACUGCACGGCGGCGGCGGCGAUGGUCGCGAUAGCGACGAUAGGGGCAAUGGAGGCGACGCAGCCUGUGACGCAGCCCGCGGCGGCGGACGCGACAGUCCGGACGGCCGUGGCGCCGCGAUCGCCGCCGGGCGGGAGACGGGUGCGGCGAAUGCAACGGAUGCAACGGGUGCGCCGGGGACGAUGGGCGCGAUGGCUGCACCGUGCGAUAGCGACGGCGCCGAUGCGCUCGCCCCCGAUGCGCCGUCGGCCGAGCGGCGCGCCGGACCCGAUUGAGACCUCGGCGGUCUGGGCAUCGACGGCGGAGCACGGCCGACGCGCGUGGCGCAUCCGGCCGCGCGCAUCGCGAACGGACGAACGCGCCGCAUCCGCCGCGCCGCCGGCGCCGGCGCCGUGCACGAUACGCGGCGCGCCCGCGUCCAUCCGUGCAGACGCGGCUUCCUCGCAGGCAAGACAACCGAUACGAUAAUCCGCUCAUCCGCUCUCGAGCGGCCCGCACGGUCCCAACGACAUCCGCAUGCAGAACUACUACGAAGCCACGGUCACGCGCACGCCCUACCCCGCGCUCGCCGAACGCAUCGAUACCGACGUGUGCAUCGUCGGCGGCGGCCUGGCCGGCCUGUCGACAGCCCUCGGGCUCGUCGAGCGCGGCGUGCGCGACAUUGCGCUGCUCGACGCGCAAACGGUCGGCUUCGGCGCGUCGGGCCGCAACGGCGGCUUCGUGUUCGGCGGCUAUAGCCUCGACAACGCGGACCUGCUGCGCACGCUCGGCCCCGAGUCCGCCCGCGCGCUCUAUCGCCUGACGAUCGACGCGGUCGAGCUGAUCCGCGCGCGCGCCGCGCGCUACGGCAUCGAUUGCGAACUCGUCGACGGCGGCGUGAUCCUCGCGAACUGGUUCGACGAUCCGGCGCGCCUUUGCGCGCCGCGCAAGCUGAUGAAGGAGGCGUUCGGCGUCGACUGGGAGCCGCUCGAUGAACGCGCACUGCGCACGCGGCUGAAGACGGACCGCUAUCGCGGCGGCCUCUUCGAGCGCAACGCGUUCCACUUCCAUCCGCUGAAGUACGUGCUCGGCGUCGCGGCCGCGGCCGCGCAGGGCGGCGCACGGAUCCACGAGCAUUCGGCCGCGCGCGCGAUUCGCCGCGACGGCGCGGGUUUUGUCGUCGCGACCGACGGCGGCGCGGUGCGCGCACGCCGCGUGGUGUUCGCGGGCGGCGGCUAUGCGCGCGGCGUGUAUCCGCGCAUCGAGCGCGCGGUGCUGCCGAUCGCGACCUACGUGAUCGCGACCGAGCCGCUCGGCGCGCGGCUCGCCGACGCGAUCGCGUGCGAGGCGGCCGUCUACGACACCCGCUUCGCGUUCGACUACUACCGGCCGCUCGCCGACACGCGAAUUCUGUGGGGCGGCCGCAUUUCGGUGCUCGAACGCGGGCCGGAAGCAAUCGCGCGGCUGCUCAGGCGCGACCUGCUGCGCGUCUAUCCGCAACUGCGCGAUGCCGCCGUGCAGUUCGCGUGGGGCGGGCUCAUGAGCUACGCGCGCCACAAGAUGCCGCAGAUCGGCCGCGAUGCGCACGGCAUCUGGCACGCGGUCGGCUUCGGCGGCCACGGCAUGGCGCCGACGACGGUGGCGGGCGAGGUGCUCGCGGCGGCGCUCGCGGGCGAGCGGCCCGUGCCGGACGGCUUCGCGAGGUUCGGCCUCGCGCGCACGUUCGGGCUCGCGGGGCUCGCCGCCGCGCAGCUCACGUACAGCGCGUACGAGGCGCGCGACGCGCUCGCCGCGCGCCGCUGCGCACGCGCCGGCCAGCCCUUUCGUCAGCGCCUUUAGAGCCCGGAGUCGGGCAAAAGCCGCCUGGGGCGCGUGCUAGAAUGCGCCGACCAUGCCGCCGUCCGAUCACGCCAAAAUGAAACAAGGAAGCAAGGCCGCAGCGCCCGACGCCGAAGCGCGGCGAGACGAGGCGCGCCGCAAAUACGACCCCGAGCAGACGAAGCGCAAUAUUCUCGACGUCGCCACGCAGGAAUUCUCCGCGAUGGGACUGUCGGGGGCGCGC